CAGCAGGCCAAUUGUCUUGCUCCCAAAGUGAUUUGGGGUCCCUGUCUUCAACCACCACACACUCCCUGCUCUACCUCUGCGUUGGCCAGUUUCAAGGUCACGGCGCACGAUAGAAAACCAGCCUGCAGAGCACCUAGCAGAGGUCAGCACUAUGAGCACAAUGCAUGCAGGUGGACCUUACACUGGGAAGGAGCUCCUGGAGCCAGCAUUCCUGGACGGCUGCCCCACCCUUGGCUUCUCCUUCCUGGACUCCUCAAGCUCCAACAUCUCCACCUCAGAGGCCUUGAUAUCGGAAGGGUCUACCCCUUCACUUCUUGACUCCUCAGUGGAUCUUUCCUCUGAGGUAGAUCCACCUUCUGAAAUCCUGGACCAGCUGGAGCCUCCUGAGCCCCCUAAGGUGGAGCCUCAAAUUGCAGGCCCAGCUCCAGGCCAUGCUGAAGCCUUACCUGCAGAGCUUGAGCCUGCUCCACCUGAAGCUCCCUCUGCAGAGCUGGUCUCACAGCAAGAUGCAGCAUCUGGAAUUCCUUCCCAACCAGAUGCAGAGCUGGAACUGCUGGGGGAUGAUGAGCUGAACUCAUGUCUUGAGUUCUACCAGCAGGUCUUUAUCUUUAUCGGCUGUAUCCUUCUCUUCAAGAUGUCCCUUGUUUUUGGAUUUUUGGCUAUUCUUUUUUCC
Molecule: long non-coding RNA, 673 nt
Filed under: Cavia porcellus (domestic guinea pig)
Lineage: Eukaryota; Metazoa; Chordata; Mammalia; Rodentia; Caviidae
Description: lncRNA (ENSCPOG00000036048.1)
Source: RNAcentral